Molecule: small RNA, 101 nt
Filed under: Paenibacillus pectinilyticus
Lineage: Bacteria; Bacillati; Bacillota; Bacilli; Caryophanales; Paenibacillaceae
Description: Guanidine-I sequence
Rfam family: Guanidine-I riboswitch aptamer
About the family: This family represents a conserved RNA structure found upstream of the ykkC and yxkD genes in Bacillus subtilis and related genes in other bacteria. The function of this family is unclear although it has been suggested that it may function to switch on efflux pumps and detoxification systems in response to harmful environmental molecules. Nelson showed that this riboswitch senses and responds to guanidine and it was renamed Guanidine-I riboswitch.
Source: Rfam by way of RNAcentral
CACAAUGUUCUCUAGGGUUCCGCUCGCUUCGCGAGGACUGGACCGAGAGAGAACGGUCGAUGCGAACAUCGGCUACACGGAGGGAUAAAAACCCGGGAGAA